This 301-nucleotide ribosomal RNA is filed under the name Staphylococcus epidermidis NIHLM020. Its description in RNAcentral is "partial 16S ribosomal RNA". It matches the Rfam family "Bacterial small subunit ribosomal RNA", at positions 1 to 289 of the family's 1533-position model. The record is from RNAcentral. Lineage: Bacteria; Bacillati; Bacillota; Bacilli; Caryophanales; Staphylococcaceae. RNAcentral also lists the same sequence under 1 other name.
UUUUUAUGGAGAGUUUGAUCCUGGCUCAGGAUGAACGCUGGCGGCGUGCCUAAUACAUGCAAGUCGAGCGAACAGACGAGGAGCUUGCUCCUCUGACGUUAGCGGCGGACGGGUGAGUAACACGUGGAUAACCUACCUAUAAGACUGGGAUAACUUCGGGAAACCGGAGCUAAUACCGGAUAAUAUAUUGAACCGCAUGGUUCAAUAGUGAAAGACGGUUUUGCUGUCACUUAUAGAUGGAUCCGCGCCGCAUUAGCUAGUUGGUAAGGUAACGGCUUACCAAGGCAACGAUGCGUAGCCG